Molecule: ribosomal RNA, 206 nt
Filed under: uncultured prokaryote
Description: partial 16S ribosomal RNA
Source: RNAcentral
AAAGACGGUAAAGCUGAUGGUAUUGGCUCUACUUUGUCUAGGAAAUAACCGUCAGGAUUGACACCCUCCCAAUUGUAUGUUUUCAUGCCUCCAAAUCUUGGAGGCUUUUUUAUGGUUCGUUCUUAUUACCCUUCUGAAUGUCACGCUGAUUAUUUUGACUUUGAGCGUAUCGAGGCUCUUAAACCUGCUAUUGAGGCUUGUGGCAU